GACGAACGCUGGCGGCGUGCUUAACACAUGCAAGUCGAACGGAAAGGCCCUGCUUUUGUGGGGUGCUCGAGUGGCGAACGGGUGAGUAACACGUGAGUAACCUGCCCUUGACUUUGGGAUGACUUCAGGAAACUGGGGCUAAUACCGGAUAGGAGCUCCUGCUGCAUGGUGGGGGUUGGAAAGUUUCGGCGGUUGGGGAUGGACUCGCGGCUUAUCAGCUUGUUGGUGGGGUAGUGGCUUACCAUGGCUUUGACGGGUAGCCGGCCUGAGAGGGUGACCGGCCACAUUGGGACUGAGAUACGGCCCAGACUCCUACGGGAGGCAGCAGUGGGGAAUAUUGCACAAUGGGCGGAAGCCUGAUGCAGCAACGCCGCGUGCGGGAUGACGGCCUUCGGGUUGUAAACCGCUUUCGCCUGUGACGAAGCGUGAGUGACGGUAAUGGGUAAAGAAGCACCGGCUAACUACGUG
Molecule: ribosomal RNA, 468 nt
Filed under: uncultured bacterium
Lineage: Bacteria
Description: partial 16S ribosomal RNA
Rfam family: Bacterial small subunit ribosomal RNA
Source: RNAcentral